This 594-nucleotide long non-coding RNA is filed under the name Citrus x clementina. RNAcentral describes it as "Citrus clementina (C. clementina) long non-coding RNA (CCLE_LNC000727)". The record is from RNAcentral. Lineage: Eukaryota; Viridiplantae; Streptophyta; Magnoliopsida; Sapindales; Rutaceae.
GAAGAGAGCCCGCAUGGUAAGGGAUGAUAUUUGACAUUAUUUAUGGAUAUAGCAUAACUAUUCUUAUUCUAAUAUUCAACAUUAAUUUUACAGAUGAAGAGAAGCCUUAAGAUUGCUGCUUGCUAGGGAAAGAAUAAGUGAAGAGAAGCUGAACCAGAUCUUAAAAGACAUGCUUGAAGUUUUUUUUUUCCAAUAAAAAGAGAAGCAACAUCACAAAGACUACUUAUUGGGGCAAAAUUAAUAUUGGGAAGAAGAAUAAUCCAUGGGAAAAUGCUAUGUAGAUGCUCCUAAGAUAGAGAUAUAUGAGUCUUAUAACUAAGUUAAUAUCUUGGUUACUAAUUAUAGCGAAGCACGUUUAUUUAGAUUCUUAUUAGGUUUAUUAUUUUCUUGGAACUUUCUAUGGACAAAGAAUUGAAUAUGUCAAGUGAAUUGUGUUUAUUGUACAUAAACUUUAACAUAUAAUAAAUCAAUAAAUGAUUCAAUUUUAACAGUACAUGUAUUUAUAUCAAUGAGAAUUUCAAGGAUCCUAUAAAUAUCAAUUUGUAUAUUUGAAACCCUAGUGUUCAAUAAAUUUGAAUAAUAUUAAUUUAUUAA